RNAcentral lists this ribosomal RNA (484 nucleotides) under uncultured bacterium. RNAcentral describes it as "partial 16S ribosomal RNA". It matches the Rfam family "Bacterial small subunit ribosomal RNA", at positions 28 to 523 of the family's 1533-position model. The record is from RNAcentral.
GACGAACGCUGGCGGCGUGCUUAACACAUGCAAGUCGAACGAUGAACCCGGAGCUUGCUCCGGUGGAUUAGUGGCGAACGGGUGAGUAACACGUGAGUAACCUGCCCUUGACUCUGGGAUAACUGCGGGAAACUGUAGCUAAUACCGGAUACGACCCUCGGCGGCAUCGCCAGGGGGUGGAAAGAAUUUCGGUCAAGGAUGGACUCGCGGCCUAUCAGCUAGUUGGUGAGGUAACGGCUCAGCAAGGCGACGACGGGUAGCCGGCCUGAGAGGGUGACCGGCCACACUGGGACUGAGACACGGCCCAGACUCCGACGGGAGGCGGCAGUGGGGAAUAUUGCACAAUGGGCGCAAGCCUGAUGCAGCAACGCCGCGUGAGGGAUGACGGCCUUCGGGUUGUAAACCUCUUUUAGUAGGGAAGAAGCGAAAGUGACGGUACCUGCAGAAAAAGCACCGGCUAACUACGUGCCAGCCGCCGCCGUAA